This 116-nucleotide small RNA is filed under the name Marmota monax (woodchuck). Lineage: Eukaryota; Metazoa; Chordata; Mammalia; Rodentia; Sciuridae. The record is from RNAcentral.
UCUGGGAAUGUGGGCACAUGCCUGUUGUUCUAGCACUUGGGAGGCUUAGGCAGCAGGAUCACUUGAGCCCAGGAUUUCAAGGACAGCCAGGACCACACAGUGAGAAUCUGUCUAAA